Molecule: ribosomal RNA, 468 nt
Filed under: uncultured bacterium
Lineage: Bacteria
Description: partial 16S ribosomal RNA
Rfam family: Bacterial small subunit ribosomal RNA
Source: RNAcentral
GACGAACGCUGGCGGCGUGCUUAACACAUGCAAGUCGAACGGAAAGGCCCUGCUCUUGUGGGGUGCUCGAGUGGCGAACGGGUGAGUAACACGUGAGUAACCUGCCCCUGUAUUUGGGAUAACUUCUGGAAAAUGGGGCUCAUACCGGAUAGGAGCUCCUGAUGCACGGUGGGGGUUGGAAAGUUUCGGCGGUUGGGGAUGGACUCGCGGCUUAUCAGCUUGUUGGUGGGGUAGUGGCUUACCAAGGCUGUGACGGGUAGCCGGCCUGAGAGGGGUGCCGGCCACAUGACGACUGAGAGACGGCCCAGACGCCUACGGGAGGCAGCAGUGGAGAAUAUGGCGCAAUGGGCGGAAGCCUGAUGCAGCGGCGCCGGGUGCGGAAUGACGGCUUUCGGGUGGUAAACCGCUGUCGCCUGUGACGAAGCGGGAGUGACGGUAAUGAGUAAAGAAGCACCGGCUAACUACGUG